This 253-nucleotide ribosomal RNA is filed under the name uncultured bacterium. RNAcentral's name for it is "partial 16S ribosomal RNA". It matches the Rfam family "Bacterial small subunit ribosomal RNA", at positions 524 to 776 of the family's 1533-position model. The record is from RNAcentral.
UACGGAGGGAGCUAGCGUUGUUCGGAAUUACUGGGAGUAAAGGGUCCGUAGGCGGUGCGGCAAGUCGGGAGUGAAAUCUCUGGGCUUAACCCAGAGGCUGCUUCCGAAACUGCUGUGCUUGAGUGUGGGAGAGGCGCGUGGAAUUGCAGGUGUAGCGGUGAAAUGCGUAGAUAUCUGCAGGAACACCCGUGGCGAAAGCGGCGCGCUGGACCACAACUGACGCUGAAUGACGAAAGCUAGGGGAGCAAACAGG